AUUGAACGCUAGCGGCAGGCCUAACACCUGCAAGUCGGUCGAGUGGCGGACGGGUAAGUAAUGUCUGGGGAUCUGCCUGAUGGAGGGGGAUAACUACUGGAAACGGUAACUAAUACCGCUUACCAUCAGAUGAGCCCAUAUGGGAUUAGCUUGUUGGUGGGGUAACGGCUCACCUAGGCCACGAUCCCUAGCUGGUCUGAGAGGAUGAUCAGCAUCACUGGAACGGAGACACGGGCCAGACUCCCACGGGAGGCAGCAUUGGGGAAUAUUGCACAAUGGGCGAAAGCCUGAUGCAGCCAUGCAGUGUGUAGGAUGAAGGCCUUCGGGUUGUAAAGUACUUUCAGCCGGGAGGCGUUACCCACAGAAGAAGCACCGGCUAACGCCGUGCCAGCAGCCGCGGUAAUAC
RNAcentral lists this ribosomal RNA (406 nucleotides) under uncultured bacterium. RNAcentral describes it as "partial 16S ribosomal RNA". It matches the Rfam family "Bacterial small subunit ribosomal RNA", at positions 30 to 526 of the family's 1533-position model. The record is from RNAcentral.